Molecule: non-coding RNA, 455 nt
Organism: Phoenix dactylifera (date palm)
Lineage: Eukaryota; Viridiplantae; Streptophyta; Magnoliopsida; Arecales; Arecaceae
Source: RefSeq, a predicted model, not a curated record
GGAGAUCAUACACUGCUAUCCAGAUUUGGUGGACUACAGGAACGAGAAGGGGGAGUCGCCUCUUCAUGUCCUGGCCAACAAGCCGUCAGCUUUCAAAAGUGGAACCCGUUUCAGCCUACUGAGAGUAUAAUCUACCAUGGUAUAUCUGUGGAUCCACUCAAAGUCGAAUAUCCAAGUUACGAGAAGAAAGUCAAAAAUGAAGGCAUUGAUUAUGAAAAUAUCUUGCAUGAUGGAAAUUACAAAUUACCAGAUAAUUACCAAGCAUGCUACAACAUCUUCAAAAUUUUUACUUUGCUAAAGCUUGUCUUCACGAAUAUUGCUCCUUGGACCAGUGGUGAAGAUGAAAAGUCCAAGCACAUUACAGACGUUGAAAACAAAAUCUCAGCACCUUUGACCAAUGAUGAUGAUGAUGAUAGGCCCAGGGCAUAGUAUAGAUGUUGUAAUUGAAAUCUCAG